UUUUCGUUUCUUAUUAUUUUCUGUGGAUCCUUUUGACCAGCCUUGUAAAAUAUGAUCGUUAAAGUUUUUCUUAUCAGUUAUGUCUCAUGUCUUCUUUUUUUUUCUAGGACCAUUGAAAGUGCAUGAUCAAGAAUUAGUUGAAGCAUGUUUAGUUGAAGCUAUAUCAAUUCUUGAUGUUAUCUGCAAGCUAGACUCCUCAAUGAUACCUAAGCUCUUUCCAGCACUGAAGAGAGUCUAUGCUAGAAUCAGUGACGACAUUGGUCAACCGAGGGUGCUGUGUACAAUAGUUCAAUUCUAUUUAAAUCAUUGUGAUGCUGU
Long non-coding RNA from Anneissia japonica, 318 nucleotides. RefSeq lists it as uncharacterized. The transcript is spliced from 3 exons. Lineage: Eukaryota; Metazoa; Echinodermata; Crinoidea; Comatulida; Comatulidae. The record is from RefSeq and is a predicted model, not a curated record.